Molecule: ribosomal RNA, 484 nt
Filed under: uncultured bacterium
Lineage: Bacteria
Description: partial 16S ribosomal RNA
Rfam family: Bacterial small subunit ribosomal RNA
Source: RNAcentral
AUUGAACGCUGGCGGCAGGCCUAACACAUGCAAGUCGAGCGGAUGAAGGGAGCUUGCUCCUGGAUUCAGCGGCGGACGGGUGAGUAAUGCCUAGGAAUCUGCCUGGUAGUGGGGGCUAACGUCAGGAAACGGGCGCGAAUACCGCAUACGUCCUGAGGGUGAAAGUGGGGGAUCUUCGGACCUCACGCGAUCAGAUGAGCCUAGGUCGGAUUAGCUAGUUGGUGGGGUAAAGGCCUACCAAGGCGACGAUCCGUAACUGGUCUGAGAGGAUGAUCAGUCACACUGGAACUGAGACACGGUCCAGACUCCUACGGGAGGCAGCAGUGGGGAAUCUUGGACAAUGGGCGAAAGCCUGAUCCAGCCAUGCCGCGUGUGUGAAGAAGGUCUUCGGAUUGUAAAGCACUUUUAUUUGGGAAGAAGGGCUGUAUGUUAAUACCUUGCUGUUUUGACGUUACCAACAGAAUAAGCACCGGCUAACUUCGUG